This 384-nucleotide ribosomal RNA is filed under the name uncultured organism. RNAcentral describes it as "bacterial SSU rRNA". It matches the Rfam family "Bacterial small subunit ribosomal RNA", at positions 45 to 433 of the family's 1533-position model. The record is from RNAcentral.
UGCUUUACACAUGCAAGUCGAACGGCAGCACGGGGCAACCUGGUGGCGAGUGGCGAACGGGUGAGUAAUAUAUCGGAACAUGUCCGGAAGUGGGGGAUAACGUAGCGAAAGUUACGCUAAUACCGCAUAUGCCCCAAGGGGGAAAGGAGGGGAUCGCAAGACCUUUCGCUUUCGGAGUGGCCGAUAUCGGAUUAGCUAGUAGGUGAGGUAAAGGCUCACCUAGGCGACGAUCCGUAGCUGGUCUGAGAGGACGACCAGCCACACUGGAACUGAGACACGGUCCAGACUCCUACGGGAGGCAGCAGUGGGGAAUUUUGGACAAUGGGCGCAAGCCUGAUCCAGCCAUACCGCGUGAGUGAAGAAGGCCUUCGGGUUGUAAAGCUC